GCAGUCUGCAACUCGAGUGCAUGAAGCUGGAAUCGCUAGUAAUCGCGGAUCAGAAUGCCGCGGUGAAUACGUUCCCGGGUCUUGUACACACCGCCCGUCACACCAUGGGAGCUGGUAACACCCGAAGUCAGUAGUCUAACCGCAAGGAGGACGCUGCCGAAGGUGGGAUUAGCGACUGGGGUGAAGUCGUAACAAGGUAGC
RNAcentral lists this ribosomal RNA (201 nucleotides) under uncultured bacterium. RNAcentral describes it as "partial 16S ribosomal RNA". It matches the Rfam family "Bacterial small subunit ribosomal RNA", at positions 1300 to 1500 of the family's 1533-position model. The record is from RNAcentral.